AGUGAACGCUGGCGGUAGGCCUAACACAUGCAAGUCGAACGGCAGCACAGUAAGAGCUUGCUCUUACGGGUGGCGAGUGGCGGACGGGUGAGGAAUACAUCGGAAUCUACUUUUUCGUGGGGGAUAACGUAGGGAAACUUACGCUAAUACCGCAUACGACCUACGGGUGAAAGCAGGGGAUCUUCGGACCUUGCGCGAUUGAAUGAGCCGAUGUCGGAUUAGCUAGUUGGCGGGGUAAGGGCCCACCAAGGCGACGAUCCGUAGCUGGUCCGAGAGGAUGAUCAGCCACACUGGAACUGAGACACGGUCCAGACUCCUACGGGAGGCAGCAGUGGGGAAUAUUGGACAAUGGGCGCAAGCCUGAUCCAGCCAUACCGCGUGGGUGAAGAAGGCCUUCGGGUUGUAAAGCCCUUUUGUUGGGAAAGAAAAGCAGCAGGUUAAUACCCCGCUGUUCUGACGGUACCCAAAGAAUAAGCACCGGCUAACUUCGUG
RNAcentral lists this ribosomal RNA (492 nucleotides) under uncultured bacterium. RNAcentral's name for it is "partial 16S ribosomal RNA". It matches the Rfam family "Bacterial small subunit ribosomal RNA", at positions 29 to 507 of the family's 1533-position model. The record is from RNAcentral.